Molecule: ribosomal RNA, 275 nt
Filed under: uncultured bacterium
Lineage: Bacteria
Description: partial 16S ribosomal RNA
Rfam family: Bacterial small subunit ribosomal RNA
Source: RNAcentral
AUACGGAGGGUCCGAGCGUUAAUCGGAAUUACUGGGCGUAAAGCGUACGUAGGCGGCAAGUUAAGUUAGAUGUGAAAGCCCCGGGCUCAACCUGGGAACUGCAUUUAAAACUGGCUUGCUAGAGUUGAGUAGAGGGGAGUGGAAUUUCAGGUGUAGCGGUGAAAUGCGUAGAGAUCUGAAGGAACACCAGUGGCGAAGGCGACUCCCUGGACUCGAACUGACGCUGAGGUACGAAAGCGUGGGUAGCAAACGGGAUUAGAAACCCCUAGUAGUCC